UAAUAGCGUUUGUAGAAGAAACGUUAUAAAAGCCUUGAACCCAGGAAAGAUAUAAUAACGCUUUUUAAAAAAGCGCUAUUAAAGCCAAAAACACGGAACACUAUAAUAGCACUUCUGAGAAAGCGCUAUUAACGUUAAUACCAUAUAAUAGCGUAUUUGACAUAAGCGCUAUAGUAAAUAAAAUUAAGAAAUAAAAAACUAUAGUGGUUGGGUGUCGAACCUUUGACCCCUUAGUUGUAUUUUUUUUUCUUUAACACAAUCUGUUGGUUGCUGAAUAAUAAAAAAAAUUAAGAGAUAAUUUUUUUAAAAAAAAAACCUUCUCAUUUCUCUCCUCUAAAUUUCUCACAACUGCAUCGCUCGUUUCUAUACUCAACAAUCCUUCCAUCGCUCCUCUUCUCUCUAUUGUUCCAUCUGUCGAGCCUCCAUCUCCAUCCUUAUCAAGGUCUUUGUUUCAACCUCACACCUCGCCGUCGAACCCUAGAUCGUCAGGCUCUCGUUCAACCUCAAUCUCCGUCGAACCCUAGGUCCUUCGUUUAAGCCCAACACCUCCAUCUCCGUCAAACCCAAAAUCUCGUGAUUCUCGGUAUACUUGGAACGGAAAUUCUCAUUUUCUCUACUUUUCCUAAAUCAUGACCACAAAUUUUGUUUCAAUCCUGGACUUGUACAAGGGCAGUCCUGAACUCCAUGGAUUAUUUUGAUAAGCACAUUAAACAGUUGAAAACACUCAUAAGCUUAAUUACAGCAUAGAUAGGGGAACUUCUUUCAAUUUUAAGCUUGGACAUGUACAAGGUGAAUUGCCACCGUUUUGAUUGGUUUUAUUUUUUAAUUUCAUUGAUUCAUAUUAUAUGGGACUGUUAAUUAUUGAUUUGAUUGAUGAUGAUUGUUAAUAUUAACUAGUAUUACUAGUAUUUUUUUAAUUUCAAGCUAUGUUAGUUUUUCUGCCAUUCGAACUCCGUCUUUUGCGUUUUUAUACGGUUUUGUUGUUGUUUAUGUGGUGUGAGCAGAGGUGUUUGAGGAUAUUGUUGGUUUGUGCUUUAAUUGGUUCGGCAUGGCUGUGCAUUUUUUGUUGGGCUUGGCAUAGGGAUUUUGCGUCUUUUUUCCCUUGUUUCCUUUGGAUCGUUGUGCCUGGGUUUGGUUUGAUGUAUUGUGUUUUGUAUUAGUCUUGUGUGGUGUUAGUUUAGUGGCUAAGUCUCAACUUGUUUUCUUGGUAUGUUUUGUUCCUCUCAGCUAUUAAUGCUAAAUGAUCGGUAACAGAAAUAGAAUUGAGGAGUAGUUGGGUAGGAAGGUCCACAUUAAGGAAAUGUGAGAAAUCAAUGACUCCUAAGAUUCUAAAGAACCUUCAGCAUAUCUAGGGAAAAAUAAGUAUUUAUAUUUGACAAAUUUCAAUUGAUUUAGAUCAAAGUUGCUACAUGAUUUAGAUCAAAGUUGCAUGACAAUGGAAUAUUCGCAAAGCUUUGCAGUUUGCUUUGAGUAGGAGUGUUGGUUGGGUGUGUUGGCUUGCGGUAGACAUUGCUUGGCUUUGUAUGUUUGGUGUGCCUGUCAUGGUACUGGUCUGGUGUGUAGUGAGUGCUGCUCCUUGAUUUUCUUUGGUUAGUUGGUUUAUGUGUGUGUGUGUGUGUGUGGUUUUUGUUUUAGUUCAGGGUGCUCCUGGUUAUCUUUUUGUUGCCUCAUAGUGUUCUUACUUGGAUUCUCGAGUACCUUCAUGAUGACCAAAAACUUCUUGAAGCAAUAAAAGUAAGCAUUUUUGUCCCCAUCAUAGAAUUCCUAAUCUGUUAUAAUUAAGUAAUUAACCCUAUGUGUUUAAAAUUAAUAUCUUAAUUAAUAAGUGAAAUAAAACUGAACAUAUUACUGUAGACAGAACAAUGAUGCAGGGAAGAUUCCAUUGACAUGAAGUCUGAUAAAAAAUAUGCCACUUACUCAUAGGGUAUGGUAUAUAAUAUAUACUAUGAAUGGUAAAUGCUAUGCAAAAAAAAAUACUUCAUUUAAUUUGAAAGCAAUUCAAUUCAUGACUACAUUUCUCAGUAGUAUACUUCAUUUAAAGUCUAAGGAUGGCAAGUAUCAGAUCACACCCUGUAUUGAAUUUUUUGAAGGUUUGGAUCUUCGAAAGCUGGAUAAGGUGUGGUUAGAAUGAAAUUUCUAGGUUUGUCAAUUUGUUCUCUUUCAUCUCAAAGUUCAUCUUUGCUUCCUACUUCCUUUUGAUUUUUCUUUUUAGAUUUGUUCGCAUUUUCGUCAUCGAUUCGUCUCUUUCUUAUAAGUUUUUUUGUCUGAGUUAUGUUGGGUUCAAUUUUCUGGUCGAGAAGGAAGAAGUAAUCAAUAUCUGAUAGAGUCACCGGAAGCAAAUAAGUUCCCUUUAUGUUUGACUAAACUAUAUAUGAUACUAACACUACAGAGUUUUUGUUGCUGCCUGAGUAUUUAUAAACUUUACUUGACAUCAUAGUAUUUUGCAGAAGGUUUUGUUGCUGCAACAGUAUUAGUAUUGUGUAUAUGAUAUUGUAAUUUGUAAUAGUUAGUAGUUAGAAACUUUACAUUGACAUCGUAGUAUUUUGCAGAAACUCAACUAUAGUAGUGCCCCUUUAUUUAUGCUUAUUCUUGUAGUAGUAACUAUCCAAAUAUUAUAGCAUUGAACCACUAACUACCAACAUGUUUCCAUAACCUGUCAGAAUCUGAAUUGUCUCUAGAUGACACUAUUCUUGUAUAUGAGUGAGAAUUAAUGCUGUCAAAUGGUGUCCAAAUGGUGUUAUGAGUUAUGCUGUCAAAUUAUAAUUCAUUUGAAGUAUUCUGCUAUCCAAUUCUUUGUUCCAUUGUGCUUCCUUCGUAUAUCGUUUACCACAUUUGAUUUCCAUUUUUACUAAAUAUUUUCAGCUAAUUAACCUGAAUACACACUUAAUGCAACUCCCUUUGCUCUCUAGAAGUGGAGUUUUGGAAUUGUCAAUUGCCAAAGCUUAUGAAUCAGACGAAGAAUGUGUCAGACACCUGAACGACAUUCCUAAUGGAGCCAAAACAUUUGAACUGAUGCAUUUUUCGGUUGUACUAUUAUAAUGCAUUUUUCUUAUAAUUGUCGAUUUGGUUUUUAUCUUUCUAGGUGUGGCCAUCGUAAGAAGCUUACAUUGUUCCUCAACCUGGACUUCUUGGUAAUAUUAGAAUGGUGCUGGCUUGGCGAGAAAUCCUAAAGCGUUCAAGUCGUGUCUUGGUUGCUGCAUUAUUUCUUCUUCUGCAUAGUAUUAUUAAGUGUAGGGAUAGGUGGGUGAUUAUCAUUAGCAGGUAUAGCACCUUUGUAUUAGCCUUUGGUGUUCUUAUUAUUUAUGUAUCAGCAUAACUUUGUUUUGGUGGGUGAGUCUUGUGUAUUGAAUAUCUAUAUGUAUGUCCAGCCCUACAAUCUUUGUAUACAUAUUUUGCUUCAAUUCAAUUUUGUUUUUCCAAAAA
This is a long non-coding RNA of Trifolium pratense (red clover), 3423 nucleotides long. RefSeq lists it as uncharacterized. NCBI's taxonomy places the organism in Eukaryota, Viridiplantae, Streptophyta, Magnoliopsida, Fabales, Fabaceae. The record is from RefSeq and is a predicted model, not a curated record. The transcript is spliced from 3 exons.